RNAcentral lists this transfer RNA (82 nucleotides) under Siphoviridae sp. ctTBR23. Its description in RNAcentral is "tRNA-Tyr". It matches the Rfam family "tRNA". Rfam says of the family: Transfer RNA (tRNA) molecules are approximately 80 nucleotides in length. Their secondary structure includes four short double-helical elements and three loops (D, anti-codon, and T loops). Further hydrogen bonds mediate the characteristic L-shaped molecular structure. tRNAs have two regions of fundamental functional importance: the anti-codon, which is responsible for specific mRNA codon recognition, and the 3' end, to which the tRNAs corresponding amino acid is attached (by aminoacyl-tRNA synthetases). tRNAs cope with the degeneracy of the genetic code in two manners: having more than one tRNA (with a specific anti-codon) for a particular amino acid; and 'wobble' base-pairing, i.e. permitting non-standard base-pairing at the 3rd anti-codon position. Lineage: Duplodnaviria; Heunggongvirae; Uroviricota; Caudoviricetes. The record is from RNAcentral.
CGAGAGAUACCCAAGUGGUCAAAGGGAGCGGACUGUAAAUCCGUCGUGUAAUGCUUCGAUAGUUCAAAUCUAUCUCUCUCGA